This 583-nucleotide ribosomal RNA is filed under the name Phlebia radiata. RNAcentral's name for it is "eukaryotic LSU rRNA". It matches the Rfam family "Eukaryotic large subunit ribosomal RNA", at positions 66 to 632 of the family's 3401-position model. The record is from RNAcentral. Lineage: Eukaryota; Fungi; Basidiomycota; Agaricomycetes; Polyporales; Meruliaceae.
UAACAAGGAUUCCCCUAGUAACUGCGAGUGAAGCGGGAAAAGCUCAAAUUUAAAAUCUGGCGGUCUUCGAUCGUCCGAGUUGUAGUCUGGAGAAGCGUCUUCCGCGCUGGACCGUGUACAAGUCUCUUGGAACAGAGCGUCGUAGAGGGUGAGAAUCCCGUCUUUGACACGGACUACCAGUGCUUUGUGAUGCGCUCUCAAAGAGUCGAGUUGUUUGGGAAUGCAGCUCAAAAUGGGUGGUAAAUUCCAUCUAAAGCUAAAUAUUGGCGAGAGACCGAUAGCGAACAAGUACCGUGAGGGAAAGAUGAAAAGCACUUUGGAAAGAGAGUUAAACAGUACGUGAAAUUGCUGAAAGGGAAACGAUUGAAGUCAGUCGCGUCGUCUAGAACUCAACCUUGCCUCGGCUCGGUGCAUUUUCUAGUUGACGGGCCAGCAUCAGUUUUGACCGUCGGAAAAAGGUCCUCGGAAUGUGGCACCUUCGGGUGUGUUAUAGCCUUGGGUCGUAUACGACGGUUGGGACUGAGGACCGCAGCACGCCUUUAUGGCCGGGGUUCGCCCACGUACGUGCUUAGGAUGCUGGCGU